CUAGGUGCAGAUGGAACUGUGAAAAGAAAAGUGCAUAUUAGCAUCGAGUAGGAGUAAAAGCUGAUAGUUGCAACAACAGCGAGUGUACAUUUUGAUGGUUGCAAAAAUGUAGAAACAUAAAAAUGGAUAACGAUGCUUACCAUCUUCAGAAGUUUUCACAAACUAAAAGUCGAAAUGUCAUCUGUAGAAAAUCCGUUGACCAACUCGUAGCCGCGUCCUUCACUUAUUGUAUAAUUACAAUAAGUUAGGACGGAAGUAAGACCACAUUCGUUGUUGUCCCUGUCAAUGUGCCAGCCGACUGAAAUUGUGCUUUUAGUUACCCAGGGUACAAUAUCUUGCACUGUUUUCUUUUCAGCCCAACUCACCGCUUUCUUCAGUAGUGCCUUCAAUAGUACCAGACUCUCCCUCGUCACUCGUCCAUACAGGGGUGAUUUGGAUGACGUAUGAUUUGCAGGCAAUUAAAUCAGAUAGUGUAAUAUUCGUG
RNAcentral lists this long non-coding RNA (484 nucleotides) under Neodiprion pinetum (white pine sawfly). Its description in RNAcentral is "uncharacterized LOC124221505". The record is from RNAcentral. Lineage: Eukaryota; Metazoa; Arthropoda; Insecta; Hymenoptera; Diprionidae.